RNAcentral lists this ribosomal RNA (450 nucleotides) under uncultured bacterium. RNAcentral describes it as "partial 16S ribosomal RNA". It matches the Rfam family "Bacterial small subunit ribosomal RNA", at positions 338 to 795 of the family's 1533-position model. The record is from RNAcentral.
CCUACGGGUGGCAGCAGUAAGGAAUAUUGGUCAAUGGACGCAAGUCUGAACCAGCCAUGCCGCGUGGAGGAUGAAGGUCCUCUGGAUUGUAAACUUCUUUUAUUUGGGAAGAAACUCCCGAUUUCCAUCGGGAUUGACGGUACCAGAUGAAUAAGCACCGGCUAACUCCGUGCCAGCAGCCGCGGUAAUACGGAGGGUGCCGGCUUCAUUCGGUUUCACGGGGGCGAAGGGGGGCGUGUAAGUCCAGGUAGAAAUCUCCGGGCUUAACCCGGAAACUGCCAUUGAUACUAUUUGUCUUGAAUACUCUGGAGGUGAGCGGAAUAUGUCAUGUAGCGGUGAAAUGCUUAGAUAUGACAUAGAACACCCAUUGCGAAGGCAGCUCACUACGGAAAUAUUGACGCUGAGGCACGAAAGCGUGGGGAUCAAACAGGAUUAGAUACCCGAGUAGUC